ACGCGAACGCUGGCGGCAGGCCUAACACGAUGCAAGUCGAACGGACCUUCGGGGUUAGUGGCGGACGGGUGAGUAACACGUGGGAACGUGCCUUUAGGUCGGAAUAGCUCCUGGGAAACGGGUGGUAAUGCCGAAUGUGCCCUUAGGGGGAAAGCGGGGGACCGUAAGGCCUCGCGCAAUUAGAGCGGCCGAUACCUGAUUAGCUAGUUGGUGAGGUAAAGGCUCACCAAGGCAACGAUCAGUAGCUGGUCUGAGAGGACGAUCAGCCACACUGGGACUGAGACACGGCCCAGACUCCUACGGGAGGCAGCAGUGGGGAAUUUUGGACAAUGGGGGCAACCCUGAUCCAGCAAUGCCGCGUGAGUGAAGAAGGCCUUCGGGUUGUAAAGCUCUUUUGUCAGGGAAGAAACAGCAGCUCUAACACAGUCUGCGAAUGACGGUACCUGAAGAAUAAGCACCGGCUAACUACGUG
Molecule: ribosomal RNA, 472 nt
Filed under: uncultured bacterium
Lineage: Bacteria
Description: bacterial SSU rRNA
Rfam family: Bacterial small subunit ribosomal RNA
Source: RNAcentral